UGCCAGCAGCCGCGGUAAUACGGAGGGUGCAAGCGUUAAUCGGAUUUAUUGGGCGUAAAGAGCGCGUAGGUGGGAGAGAAAGUCAGAUGUGAAAGCCCAGGGCUCAACCCUGGAAUUGCAUUUGAAACUCCUCUUCUUGAGGGUAGGCGGAGAAAACGGAAUUCCACAUGUAGCGGUGAAAUGCGUAGAUAUGUGGAGGAACACCCGUGGCGAAGGCGGUUUUCUAGCUUACUCCUGACACUCAAGCGCGAAAGCAAGGGGAGCGAACAGGAUUAGAUA
Molecule: ribosomal RNA, 279 nt
Filed under: uncultured bacterium
Lineage: Bacteria
Description: partial 16S ribosomal RNA
Rfam family: Bacterial small subunit ribosomal RNA
Source: RNAcentral